GACGAACGCUGGCGGCGUGCUUAACACAUGCGAGUCGAACGGAAAGGCCCCUUUGGGGGUUCUCGAGUGGCGAACGGGUGAGUAACACGUGAGUAACCUGCCCUUGACUUCGGGAUAACUUCAGGAAACUGGGGCUAAUACCGGAUAGGAAUCCUUGCUGCAUGGUGGGGGUUGGAAAGCUUCGGCGGUUUUGGAUGGACUCGCGGCUUAUCAGCUUGUUGGUGGGGUAGUGGCUUACCAAGGCUUUGACGGGUAGCCGGCCUGAGAGGGCGACCGGCCACAUUGGGACUGAGAUACGGCCCAGACUCCUACGGGAGGCAGCAGUGGGGAAUAUUGCACAAUGGGCGGAAGCCUGAUGCAGCAACGCCGCGUGCGGGAUGACGGCCUUCGGGUUGUAAACCGCUUUCAGCAGGGGCGAAGCUUGUGGUGACGGUACCUGCAGAAGAAGCACCGGCUAACUACGUG
RNAcentral lists this ribosomal RNA (465 nucleotides) under uncultured bacterium. RNAcentral describes it as "partial 16S ribosomal RNA". It matches the Rfam family "Bacterial small subunit ribosomal RNA", at positions 28 to 507 of the family's 1533-position model. The record is from RNAcentral.